GCCUCACAGCCCUCCGCCUGUGGGAGUGGCCCUUUCUACUAAGGAGGCAAGAGGUGGCCAGGAGUCUGUCAGCGAGUUCUGCAUGUCCUGGUGACCCUCCACCUGUUUCACAGUGUCACAGGGGAGCUCGAGCCUAUCCCAGCUAUCUUAGGGCGAGAGGCAGGGUACACUCUCGACAGGUCACCAGUCUGUUGCAGGGCUAACACAGACACAGAAAACCAUUGGCACCUAUGGGCAAUUUAGAUUUUCCAAUUAGGCUAUUGCCACUAACUGCAGGUCGUUGGACUGUGGCAGGAAGCCGGAGUACAAGGAGACAACCCACGCAAAACCGGGGAGAACAUGCCAACUCCACACAGAACGAUGGUAGAGCUGAACUCAGGACCUUCUUCCGGUUGGGUAACGGUGCUAACCAGUGUGCUGCCCUCAUAAGAGGAGCGCCACUGAGGGAACGCCUUCCGCCCACUGACGUCUCCGCCACUAUUGUAAACACCCACCCUUCCACAUUAUCCGGGGAACGCUGGCUGUUUAUAUUUCGAGAGACAGACAGUUAUUUUUUGAUAGUUUUAGCAACUCCCGAGACAGCUUUACCCCAGCGAUAAAGAUUUUUUUUCUAAAAAAACAAAAACCUGUUCUAGUGUUUUAAUUUCAGAAAAACAAGUGCAGAACGACAUCUCCAUCACAUGCGGACAACAUUGUGUAUUUUUUUAUUUCAUAUACAACAUGCUGCAUCUUAUUCACAUUGGCUUAACAUGUAUGGUACUAAUUUUAUUUGUAAUGAUGCUAUGGUGUGUCGUUUUGUCAACAACAUACAACCUGUUGCUCUAUGCCGUGAUUAUGUGUGUGGGCAACGUGGAUACUGAUAUGUACUAAUG
Molecule: long non-coding RNA, 872 nt
Organism: Oreochromis aureus
Lineage: Eukaryota; Metazoa; Chordata; Actinopteri; Cichliformes; Cichlidae
Source: Ensembl